RNAcentral lists this ribosomal RNA (253 nucleotides) under uncultured bacterium. Its description in RNAcentral is "partial 16S ribosomal RNA". It matches the Rfam family "Bacterial small subunit ribosomal RNA", at positions 524 to 776 of the family's 1533-position model. The record is from RNAcentral.
UACGUAGGGGGCAAGCGUUAUCCGGAUUUACUGGGUGUAAAGGGAGCGUAGACGGCCAGACAAGUCAGAAGUGAAAGCCCAGGGCUCAACCCUGGGACUGCUUUUGAAACUGCCGGGCUUGAGUGCAGGAGAGGAAAGCGGAAUUCCUAGUGUAGCGGUGAAAUGCGUAGAUAUUAGGAGGAACACCAGUGGCGAAGGCGGCUUACUGGACUGUAACUGACGUUGAGGCUCGAAAGCGUGGGGAGCAAACAGG